CCUACGGGAGGCUGCAGUGAGGAAUAUUGGUCAAUGGACGAGAGUCUGAACCAGCCAAGUAGCGUGAAGGAUGACUGCCCUAUGGGUUGUAAACUUCUUUUAUAAAGGAAUAAAACGAGGCACGUGUGCCUUUUUGCAUGUACUUUAUGAAUAAGGAUCGGCUAACUCCGUGCCAGCAGCCGCGGUAAUACGGAGGAUCCGAGCGUUAUCCGGAUGUAUUGGGUUUAAAGGGAGCUUAGAUGGGUUGUUCAGUCAGUUGUGAAAGUUUGCGGCUCAACCGUAAAAUUGCAAUUGAUACUGGCAGUCUUGAGUACAGUUGAGGUAGGCGGAAUUCGUGGUGUAGCGGUGAAAUGCUUAGAUAUCACGAAGAACCCCGAUUGCGAAGGCAGCUUACUAAACUGUGACUGACAUUGAUGCUCGAAAGUGUGGGUAUCAAACAGGAUUAGAUACCCUUGUAGUCC
RNAcentral lists this ribosomal RNA (461 nucleotides) under uncultured bacterium. Its description in RNAcentral is "partial 16S ribosomal RNA". It matches the Rfam family "Bacterial small subunit ribosomal RNA", at positions 338 to 796 of the family's 1533-position model. The record is from RNAcentral.